RNAcentral lists this ribosomal RNA (636 nucleotides) under uncultured bacterium. RNAcentral describes it as "bacterial SSU rRNA". It matches the Rfam family "Bacterial small subunit ribosomal RNA", at positions 202 to 842 of the family's 1533-position model. The record is from RNAcentral.
UAAAGAAUUUCGGUUAUCGAUGGGGAUGCGUUCCAUUAGUUAGUUGGCGGGGUAACGGCCCACCAAGACGACGAUGGAUAGGGGUUCUGAGAGGAAGGUCCCCCACAUUGGAACUGAGACACGGUCCAAACUCCUACGGGAGGCAGCAGUGAGGAAUAUUGGUCAAUGGACGAGAGUCUGAACCAGCCAAGUAGCGUGAAGGAUGACUGCCCUAUGGGUUGUAAACUUCUUUUAUAUGGGAAUAAAACAGGGUAUGCAUACCCUCUUGUAUGUACCAUAUGAAUAAGGAUCGGCUAACUCCGUGCCAGCAGCCGCGGUAAUACGGAGGAUCCGAGCGUUAUCCGGAUUUAUUGGGUUUAAAGGGAGCGUAGGUGGAUUGUUAAGUCAGUUGUGAAAGUUUGCGGCUCAACCGUAAAAUUGCAGUUGAAACUGGCAGUCUUGAGCACAGUAGAGGUGGGCGGAAUUCGUGGUGUAGCGGUGAAAUGCUUAGAUAUCACGAAGAACUCCGAUUGCGAAGGCAGCUCACUGGACUGCAACUGACACUGAUGCUCGAAAGUGUGGGUAUCAAACAGGAUUAGAUACCCUGGUAGUCCACACAGUAAACGAUGAAUACUCGCUGUUUGCGAUAUACAGUAA